CCAUACCACCCUGAACGCGCCCGAUCUCGUCUGAUCUCGGAAGCUAAGCAGGGUCAGGCCUGGUUAGUACUUGGAUGGGAGAAAAGGUACACUCACAAUCACAGUCCCGUAAUAGAAUACUGGAG
This 125-nucleotide ribosomal RNA is filed under the name Neogale vison (American mink). Lineage: Eukaryota; Metazoa; Chordata; Mammalia; Carnivora; Mustelidae. The record is from RNAcentral.